RNAcentral lists this ribosomal RNA (492 nucleotides) under uncultured bacterium. RNAcentral's name for it is "partial 16S ribosomal RNA". It matches the Rfam family "Bacterial small subunit ribosomal RNA", at positions 29 to 507 of the family's 1533-position model. The record is from RNAcentral.
AGUGAACGCUGGCGGUAGGCCUAACACAUGCAAGUCGAACGGCAGCACAGUAAGAGCUUGCUCUUACGGGUGGCGAGUGGCGGACGGGUGAGGAAUACAUCGGAAUCUACUUUUUCGUGGGGGAUAACGUAGGGAAACUUACGCUAAUACCGCAUCCGACCUACGGGUGAAAGCAGGGGAUCUUCGGACCUUGCGCGAUUGAAUGGGCCGAUGUCGUAUUAGCUAGUUGGCGGGGUAAAGGCCCACCAAGGCGACGAUCCGUAGCUGGUCUGAGAGGAUGAUCAGCCACACUGGAACUGAGACACGGUCCAGACUCCUACGGGAGGCAGCAGUGGGGAAUAUUGGACAAUGGGCGCAAGCCUGAUCCAGACAUACCGCGUGGGUGAAGAAGGCCUUCGGGUUGUAAAGCCCUUUUGUUGGGAAAGAAAAGCAGCAGGUUAAUACCCCGCUGUUCUGACGGUACCCAAAGAAUAAGCACCGGCUAACUUCGUG